This 71-nucleotide transfer RNA is filed under the name Monognathus jesperseni. Its description in RNAcentral is "tRNA-Ile". It matches the Rfam family "tRNA". From Rfam's summary of the family: Transfer RNA (tRNA) molecules are approximately 80 nucleotides in length. Lineage: Eukaryota; Metazoa; Chordata; Actinopteri; Anguilliformes; Monognathidae. The record is from RNAcentral.
GGAAAUGUGCCCGAUUUAAAAGGAUUACUUUGAUAGAGUAAAAUAUAAGAGUUAAAGUCUCUUUGUUUCCU